UACGUAGGGCGCAAGCGUUGUCCGGAAUUAUUGGGCGUAAAGAGCUUGUAGGCGGUUUGUCGCGUCUGCUGUGAAAAUCCGGGGCUCAACCCCGGACUUGCAGUGGGUACGGGCAGGCUAGAGUGUGGUAGGGGAGACUGGAAUUCCUGGUGUAGCGGUGAAAUGCGCAGAUAUCAGGAGGAACACCGAUGGCGAAGGCAGGUCUCUGGGCCACUACUGACGCUGAGAAGCGAAAGCAUGGGGAGCGAACAGG
RNAcentral lists this ribosomal RNA (253 nucleotides) under uncultured bacterium. Its description in RNAcentral is "partial 16S ribosomal RNA". It matches the Rfam family "Bacterial small subunit ribosomal RNA", at positions 524 to 776 of the family's 1533-position model. The record is from RNAcentral.